Corticium candelabrum is the source of this 387-nucleotide long non-coding RNA. RefSeq lists it as uncharacterized. Lineage: Eukaryota; Metazoa; Porifera; Homoscleromorpha; Homosclerophorida; Plakinidae. The record is from RefSeq and is a predicted model, not a curated record. The transcript has 3 exons.
UUUUCAAAGUAAGGAUUGUGAGACAUAUGGUGGCAAGUUGGCAUUUAUUGACUAAAGCAAACUGGGACCCCGAACUUAUCAAGCCAUUAUCGACUGUCCUCUGGACUGUGUCAAUACAACCAUGGAGUCAAAGGGAUACCCUUCUUAGAUUAAUAUGUACCUGUGUAUUAGACCGGGAAUCGUCUGAACAACUCGUGGCCCAAUCUCUGCUUCUGUGGCUGGCUUCUGCAGGAAGAUACUAGGCCUUAUAUCUUUCUUUCAGCAAGUUUUAGUAUUUGGUUAAUUAAAGGAGCACUUCACCGGUCCGCGCAACUCUGACUCCACCCUCGGCCGCUAAACGUUUCUGGUCACACAAUGACAUGAAGUUGGGAAGUUAAUUUGGUUCUA